RNAcentral lists this ribosomal RNA (429 nucleotides) under Chloroflexota bacterium. RNAcentral's name for it is "Chloroflexi bacterium partial 16S ribosomal RNA". It matches the Rfam family "Bacterial small subunit ribosomal RNA", at positions 355 to 776 of the family's 1533-position model. Lineage: Bacteria; Bacillati; Chloroflexota. The record is from RNAcentral.
UGGGGAAUAUUGCACAAUGGGCGCAAGCCUGAUGCAGCCAUGCCGCGUGUAUGAAGAAGGCCUUCGGGUUGUAAAGUACUUUCAGCGGGGAGGAAGGGAGUAAAGUUAAUACCUUUGCUCAUUGACGUUACCCGCAGAAGAAGCACCGGCUAACUCCGUGCCAGCAGCCGCGGUAAUACGGAGGGUGCAAGCGUUAAUCGGAAUUACUGGGCGUAAAGCGCACGCAGGCGGUUUGUUAAGUCAGAUGUGAAAUCCCCGGGCUCAGCCUGGGAACUGCAUCUGAUACUGGCAAGCUUGAGUCUCGUAGAGGGGGGUAGAAUUCCAGGUGUAGCGGUGAAAUGCGUAGAGAUCUGGAGGAAUACCGGUGGCGAAGGCGGCCCCCUGGACGAAGACUGACGCUCAGGUGCGAAAGCGUGGGGAGCAAACAGG